CUUUCAACAACGGAUCUCUUGGUUCUGGCAUCGAUGAAGAACGCAGCGAAAUGCGAUAAGUAAUGUGAAUUGCAGAAUUUAGUGAACCAUCGAAUCUUUGAACGCACAUUGCGCCCCCUGGCAUUCCGGGGGGCAUGCCUAUUCGAGCGUU
RNAcentral lists this ribosomal RNA (151 nucleotides) under Megalospora tuberculosa. RNAcentral describes it as "5.8S ribosomal RNA". It matches the Rfam family "5.8S ribosomal RNA". Rfam says of the family: 5.8S ribosomal RNA (5.8S rRNA) is a component of the large subunit of the eukaryotic ribosome. It is transcribed by RNA polymerase I as part of the 45S precursor that also contains 18S and 28S rRNA. Lineage: Eukaryota; Fungi; Ascomycota; Lecanoromycetes; Teloschistales; Megalosporaceae. The record is from RNAcentral.